RNAcentral lists this small RNA (27 nucleotides) under Bombyx mori (domestic silkworm). RNAcentral describes it as "ovarian small RNA-16103". Lineage: Eukaryota; Metazoa; Arthropoda; Insecta; Lepidoptera; Bombycidae. The record is from RNAcentral.
GAUCAUGAAGGGCCCAGCGAAGUGCGU